AUUCGACGAUACGCGAAGAACCUUACCUGGCCUUGACAUAGAAAGAACUUACUAGAGAUAGUUUGGUGCUAGCUUGCUAGAACUUUCAUACAGGUGCUGCACGGCUGUCGUCAGCUCGUGUCGUGAGAUGUUGGGUUAAGUCCCGCAACGAGCGCAACCCUCGUGUUUAGUUACUAACAGUUCGGCUGAGGACUCUAGACAGACUGCCUGGGUAACCAGGAGGAAGGUGAGGACGACGUCAAGUCAUCAUGGCCCUUACGGCCAGGGCUACACACGUGCUACAAUGGGGUAUACAAAGAGCCGCAAUACCGUGAGGUGGAGCAAAUCUCAUAAAAUAUCUCCCAGUUCGGAUUGAAGUCUGCAACUCGACUUCAUGAAGUUGGAAUCGCUAGUAAUCGUGAAACAGCAAUAUCACGGUGAAUACGUUUCCGGGUCUUGUACUCACCUUCC
This 450-nucleotide ribosomal RNA is filed under the name uncultured Campylobacterota bacterium. RNAcentral's name for it is "bacterial SSU rRNA". It matches the Rfam family "Bacterial small subunit ribosomal RNA", at positions 949 to 1395 of the family's 1533-position model. The record is from RNAcentral. Lineage: Bacteria; Pseudomonadati; Campylobacterota.